This 1499-nucleotide ribosomal RNA is filed under the name metagenome. Its description in RNAcentral is "bacterial SSU rRNA". It matches the Rfam family "Bacterial small subunit ribosomal RNA". The record is from RNAcentral.
GAGUUUGACCAUGGCUCAGAUUGAACGCUGGCGGCAGGCCUAACACAUGCAAGUCGAACGGUAACAGGAAGAAGCUUGCUUCUUUGCUGACGAGUGGCGGACGGGUGAGUAAUGUCUGGGAAACUGCCUGAUGGAGGGGGAUAACUACUGGAAACGGUAGCUAAUACCGCAUAACGUCGCAAGACCAAAGAGGGGGACCUUCGGGCCUCUUGCCAUCGGAUGUGCCCAGAUGGGAUUAGCUAGUAGGUGGGGUAACGGCUCACCUAGGCGACGAUCCCUAGCUGGUCUGAGAGGAUGACCAGCCACACUGGAACUGAGACACGGUCCAGACUCCUACGGGAGGCAGCAGUGGGGAAUAUUGCACAAUGGGCGCAAGCCUGAUGCAGCCAUGCCGCGUGUAUGAAGAAGGCCUUCGGGUUGUAAAGUACUUUCAGCGGGGAGGAAGGGAGUAAAGUUAAUACCUUUGCUCAUUGACGUUACCCGCAGAAGAAGCACCGGCUAACUCCGUGCCAGCAGCCGCGGUAAUACGGAGGGCGCAAGCGUUAAUCGGAAUUACUGGGCGUAAAGCGCACGCAGGCGGUUUGUUAAGUCAGAUGUGAAAUCCCCGGGCUCAACCUGGGAACUGCAUCUGAUACUGGCAAGCUUGAGUCUCGUAGAGGGGGGUAGAAUUCCAGGUGUAGCGGUGAAAUGCGUAGAGAUCUGGAGGAAUACCGGUGGCGAAGGCGGCCCCCUGGACGAAGACUGACGCUCAGGUGCGAAAGCGUGGGGAGCAAACAGGAUUAGAUACCCUGGUAGUCCACGCCGUAAACGAUGUCGACUUGGAGGUUGUGCCCUUGAGGCGUGGCUUCCGGAGCUAACGCGUUAAGUCGACCGCCUGGGGAGUACGGCCGCAAGGUUAAAACUCAAAUGAAUUGACGGGGGCCCGCACAAGCGGUGGAGCAUGUGGUUUAAUUCGAUGCAACGCGAAGAGCCUUACCUGGUCUUGACAUCCACGGAAGUUUUCAGAGAUGAGAAUGUGCCUUCGGGAACCGUGAGACAGGUGCUGCAUGGCUGUCGUCAGCUCGUGUUGUGAAAUGUUGGGUUAAGUCCCGCAACGAGCGCAACCCUUAUCCUUUGUUGCCAGCGGUCCGGCCGGGAACUCAAAGGAGACUGCCAGUGAUAAACUGGAGGAAGGUGGGGAUGACGUCAAGUCAUCAUGGCCCUUACGACCAGGGCUACACACGUGCUACAAUGGCGCAUACAAAGAGAAGCGACCUCGCGAGAGCAAGCGGACCUCAUAAAGUGCGUCGUAGUCCGGAUUGGAGUCUGCAACUCGACUCCAUGAAGUCGGAAUCGCUAGUAAUCGUGGAUCAGAAUGCCACGGUGAAUACGUUCCCGGGCCUUGUACGCACCGCCCGUCACACCAUGGGAGUGGGUUGCAAAAGAAGUAGGUAGCUUAACCUUCGGGAGGGCGCUUACCACUUUGUGAUUCAUGACUGGGGUGAAGUCGUAACAAGGUA